Molecule: ribosomal RNA, 755 nt
Filed under: uncultured soil bacterium
Lineage: Bacteria
Description: bacterial SSU rRNA
Rfam family: Bacterial small subunit ribosomal RNA
Source: RNAcentral
AACGCUGGCGGCGUACUUAACACAUGCAAGUCGAACGGGGAUCGUCGGGUUAGCAAUAAUUCGGCGGUUCUAGUGGCGUACGGGUGAGUAACACGUGGGGCAACUUGCCCUAGAGCCCGGGAUACCCUCUCGAAAGGGAGGCUAAUACUGGAUACGUUCUUCGGUUCGCAAGAUCUGGAGAGGAAAGGUGGCGCAAGCUACCGCUCUUGGAGAGGCUCGCGGCCUAUCAGCUAGUUGGUGAGGUAACGGCUCACCAAGGCUAUGACGGGUAGCUGGUCUGAGAGGACGACCAGCCACACGGGAACUGAGACACGGUCCUGACUCCUACGGGAGGCAGCAGUGGGGAAUUUUCCGCAAUGGGCGAAAGCCUGACGGAGUGACGCCGCGUGGGGGACGAAGGCCUUCGGGUUGUAAACCCCUGUCAGAGGGAAAGAAGGGUGUCGGCGUGAUAACCGCCGGCACUUGACGGUACCUUCAGAGGAAGCCCCGGCCAACUCUGUGCCAGCAGCCGCGGUAAGACAGAGGGGGCAAGCGUUGCUCGGAAUCACUGGGCGUAAAGGGCGCGUAGGCGGGAUGGCAAGUCGGUCGUGAAAUCUCUCGGCUCAACCGAGAAACGUCGGCCGAUACUGCCGUUCUUGAGGGAUGCAGAGGAGACUGGAAUUCCCGGUGUAGCGGUGAAAUGUGUAGAGAUCGGGAGGAACACCGGUGGCGAAGGCGGGUCUCUGGGCAUUUCCUGACGCUGAGGCGCGAAAGCG